AGGGUUUGAUCAUGGCUCAGAACGAACGCUGGCGGCAGGCUUAACACAUGCAAGUCGAACGGCUGUAGCAAUACAGCAGUGGCGCACGGGUGAGUAACGCGUGGGAACGUGCCCUUCAGUCAGGAAUAACCUCGGGAAACUGAGGCUAAUACUUGAUAUUCCCUCCGGGGGAAAGAUUUAUCGCUGAAGGAUCGGCCCGCGUCAGAUUAGCUAGUUGGUGAGGUAAUGGCUCACCAAGGCUCCGAUCUGUAGCUGGUCUGAGAGGACGACCAGCCACACUGGAACUGAGACACGGUCCAGACUCCUACGGGAGGCAGCAGUGGGGAAUAUUGGACAAUGGGCGAAAGCCUGAUCCAGCCAUGCCGCGUGAGUGAUGAAGGCCUUAGGGUUGUAAAGCUCUUUUGUCAGGGAAGAUAAUGACGGUACCUGAAGAAUAAGCACCGGCUAACUUCGUGCCAGCAGCCGCGGUAAUACGAAGGGUGCUAGCGUUGUUCGGAAUUACUGGGGCGUAAAGCGCGCGUAGGCGGGCUGUCAAGUCAGGGGUGAAAUCCCGGAGCUUAACUCCGGAACUGCCUCUGAAACUGUCAGCCUGGAGUGUGUGAGGGGAUAGCGGAAUUCCUAAUGUAGAGGUGAAAUUCGUAGAUAUUAGGAGGAACACCGGUGGCGAAGGCGGCUAUCUGGCACACAACUGACGCUGAGGCGCGAAAGCGUGGGGAUCAAACAGGAUUAGAUACCCUAGUAGUCC
This 745-nucleotide ribosomal RNA is filed under the name uncultured bacterium. RNAcentral describes it as "bacterial SSU rRNA". It matches the Rfam family "Bacterial small subunit ribosomal RNA", at positions 8 to 796 of the family's 1533-position model. The record is from RNAcentral.